UCUAUAUAUGAGAAAAUAAUACUGCCAUCUGGUGGCUGAAUUUGGUAUGACUCCCUCUGAAGGUCCCGAACGGAAUAUUAUAUUUCCUCGGUAUAAUCCGGUCGGGAAUUAAUCGGCGGGAUGAUCUCCUCACACAGCGCCGCUCCGGGACUCUUAUUUCUCCAGCGUGUCCCUCUGUGCGGCGCUGUGUGUCUGGGUGUGAGCAGCGCAGGGGCGGGGCUCCGUGUUAGUGGACCUCCCGACCAGCAGGGACACCAUAGAGCGGCUUGAUGGCGGCGCUGGCAGGAAACACCCAAUAAAUAAUUCCCGUGAGGAGUGGCCCGGAUGUCACGGUGAGAAGAGGCCGGAUGUGACGGUGAGGAGAGGCCGGAUGUGACGGUGAGGAGAGGCCGGAAGUGACGGCGAGGAGAGGCCGGAUGUCAGAUGGUCUGUGGAGUGAAGAGUCUUCUGAGGACAGAGAAGAAAGAAGCUGUGAUCUUCCUUCCCUGACAGAUGUCAGAGACGUCCCGUCA
This is a long non-coding RNA of Rana temporaria (common frog), 512 nucleotides long. RefSeq lists it as uncharacterized. The transcript has 2 exons. Lineage: Eukaryota; Metazoa; Chordata; Amphibia; Anura; Ranidae. The record is from RefSeq and is a predicted model, not a curated record.